UACGGAGGGUGCGAGCGUUAUCCGGAUUCACUGGGUUUAAAGGGUGCGUAGGUGGGAAUGUAAGUCAGUGGUGAAAUCUCCGUGCUUAACACGGAAACUGCCAUUGAUACUAUGUUUCUUGAAUUUUCUGGAGGUUAGCGGAAUAUGUCACGUAGCGGUGAAAUGCUUAGAUAUGACAUAGAACACCGAUUGCGAAGGCAGCUAACUACAGGGAUAUUGACACUGAGGCACGAAAGCGUGGGGAUCAAACAGG
Molecule: ribosomal RNA, 253 nt
Filed under: uncultured bacterium
Lineage: Bacteria
Description: partial 16S ribosomal RNA
Rfam family: Bacterial small subunit ribosomal RNA
Source: RNAcentral